GGGGAGCUGACACAGAGGUUUAUGCAGCAGAGCUGUGACAGCGACUGACGCUUUCAACAGUUAUCAGUUAGGGUGCUAACUAAAACACGGCCAUGCCUCCCCCAUCUGACAUUGUGAAGGUGGCUAUUGAAUGGCCUGGUGCCAAUGCUCAGCUAAUAGAGAUGGACCAGAAAAGACCUUUGUCCUCAAUAAUUCGGGAAGUAUGUGAUGGGUAAGUAUUACUCCUGUAUGUUUUAA
Non-coding RNA from Neolamprologus brichardi, 237 nucleotides. The record is from RefSeq and is a predicted model, not a curated record. Lineage: Eukaryota; Metazoa; Chordata; Actinopteri; Cichliformes; Cichlidae.